This 807-nucleotide long non-coding RNA is filed under the name Citrus x clementina. RNAcentral's name for it is "Citrus clementina (C. clementina) long non-coding RNA (CCLE_LNC002401)". The record is from RNAcentral. Lineage: Eukaryota; Viridiplantae; Streptophyta; Magnoliopsida; Sapindales; Rutaceae.
UCAAAGAGCGCGUUGAAGUUCGAGAGCGUGGAGAAGGGCGAGACUCAGGUGGUUUCCGGCACCAAUUACCGGCUGAUCUUGGUCGUCAAGGACGGACCUUCGACCAAGAAAUUUGAAGCUGUCGUUUGGGAGAAGCCGAGGGAGCAUUUCAAGAGUCUCACCUCGUUUAAGCCUUUUAAGCCUAUGGUUGGGGGAUGGAAGCCGAUAGAGGACCUCAAGGAGAAGCACGUGAUGGAGAUCGGGCAGUUCGCGGUGACGGAGUACAACAAACGGUCAAAGAGCACGUUGAAGUUCGAGAGCGUGGAGAAGGGCGAGACUCAGGUGGUUUCCGGCACCAAUUACCGGCUGAUCUUGGUCGUCAAGGACGGACCUUCGACCAAGAAAUUUGAAGCUGUCGUUUGGGAGAAGCCAUGGGAGCAUUUCAAGAGUCUCACCUCGUUUAAGCCUUUUAAGCCUAUGGUUGGGGGAUGGAAGCCGAUAGAGGACCCCAAGGAGAAGCAUGUGAUGGAGAUCGGCCAGUUCGCGGUGACGGAGUACAACAAACGGUCAAAGAGCGCGUAAAAGUUCGAGAGCGUGGAGAAGGGCGAGACUCAGGUGGUUUCCGGCACCAAUUACCGGUUGAUCUUGGUCGUCAAGGACGGACCUUCGACCAAGAAAUUUGAAGCUGUCGUUUGGGAGAAGCCAUGGGAGCAUUUCAAGAGUCUCACCUCGUUUAAGCCUUUUAAGCCUAUGGUUGGGGGAUGGAAGCCGAUAGAGGACCCCAAGGAGAAGCAUGUGAUGGAGAUCGGCCAGUUCGCGGUGACGGAG